Salvia miltiorrhiza (redroot sage) is the source of this 2298-nucleotide long non-coding RNA. RefSeq lists it as uncharacterized. Lineage: Eukaryota; Viridiplantae; Streptophyta; Magnoliopsida; Lamiales; Lamiaceae. The record is from RefSeq and is a predicted model, not a curated record. The transcript has 2 exons.
UUAGAAAUUAAAAUCGGCCCAUUAGCUAAAUUAAAGCCCAAAUAUAGCUUAAGCCCAAUUUAAAAAAAAAGUAACUAAAACUAGAGAAUAGAAAUCACCUCUCACUUUCUCUCUCUCCCAAUUCGGUUCCCCCCCUUCCCUUAUCUCUCCAAUUUCUCACUACACACCCACUGCCUCCCUUCUCCCUCCAUAGCUCCGCCGCCGGCCGCCUGCCCCAGCUCCGGCGAAAUCUUCGCCGGAAACACCUCCCUCUGGUCGUCCCCCUCUCACCCCACUCUAUCCAUCGUUUCUCACCCUCUCUUCUUCCCCCUUAAACAUCCGCCGUCUGCUCCCUUCUCCGGUGAUAAUCGCCGGCAGCCGCGUCCUCCCACACGGCCACUUCACUCUCGCCACCUCUCUCUCUCUCUCGCCCUCACGCCGCCUCGCCUCCUGCCAGCCAACAGCCGUCCGUCUUGGGCCUCCGCCUCCUCCUCCGCCUGCUUUAGCUACGAGCGGCCGGUGGGCUGCUGCCACCUGCAGCACCGGCAGCUGCGACUUUGUCAACUCAGAGUGAGGCUCCGACAGACCCCCUCCCAGCUCUCACCACUUUCUCGACUCUCACUCUCUCCGAAGGUAAGCAAGAAAGAUUCAACUCAGAUUCGAAGAAAAUAAAGAUGGGUUCUUGGAGAAAUCUGAAAUUGCAUAAAUGUUAUGUCCUUAGGUUUUCUUGUUUCCAAAGGUUCUGUACAAAUUCUUCUUUGUUUCUGAAGAUUACGGAAAUGUAGUUGAGUAUAGGAGUAUGAAGUUGAACCUUAGACACACAAUUAUGGUGGCAGCGGUGAAGAAAUGGUGGCUUUUGUUGUAUUUUGGUUCUGUGGAGUAUAAAAUGAGCUUGAUUAUCUGCUGCAGAAGAUUGUCUUGGAAAAUAGAUGGAGUUGCGUAUAGGAUCAAUUGUCAAGAUUUGGAAAUAAAGUAGUAAAAGAUUUGGCACUGCAGAAUUUUUUGGGAAAUGGAAGAUUUGAUACUGCAAAAUUUUUGGGGAAAAUGGAGAAUGUUUCAGCCUUCAUGCUCACACGUUGCUGUUCUCACCAAAACUUCAAAUUUUAGGCUGUAGGCCCCAAAAAAAUUAUUCAACUCAUAAGUAAAAAUUUAGGGUUAAUAGCCGGAAAAUACAUGAACUAUUUUCAAAUUUGCAUAUUGCACAUCACCUUCAAAAAUAGCCUCAGAAUACAUCACUUUUUAAUUUUGUUGCAAAUUGCACAUGCGUUGACCACCACCUUGAUCGGUGUUGACGUGGCACCGGAAUUUUCAGACGUGGACUUACCGGCAUUCAAAACGACGUCGUUUUAAGUCUUCAUGAGCAACCGCUGCUCCUGAAUCUCCGCCAGCAUGAGAGUGACGUGCAGCGGCGAGGAAUCGAUCUGUUUCUACUAGUAGGCGCAUUUGGAGCUCGGCGUAGGCGGCCUUGGCGGUGGAGAUGGUGGUGAAGAGCUUGGCGACGAAAGCUUCCAUGGCGGCGCGGGUCUUGCAGUCCUCCAUGGCUUCCUCGGCAUCCUCGGUCUCGAAUUGACGCGACUCGCAGCAGCGGAGCUUGUCUUGACGAAUCAAGAGGCAGAAUACUCCUGGGUUGGAGCGGUGUCUUGAGCCGAAGAAAAUGGGGGAAAUGGGGGGGGGGGGUUUUGCUGCGAAAACCCUAGAUCCGAAGCGGGUUGUCCUCGCUGCUUCUUUAGGGGCGGCGGCGAGCCACCGUUGCUAUUGCCAUCAAUUGAGGACGGAGCCGUCCUUGGAAGGGUUUCUGAAAUAAGGAGAAGUUUUGGGUGUUUUGGUGUUUUGAGUCAGAAUGAGAGACGAGGGGCGGCGUCCGACGUUGGAGUUGCAGGGAGGAGGGAGGCUGCGGUGGGCGCCGGUCUGCUGCUGCGUCGGCGUCGGAGUUGCAAAUGCUCAAAGGGGCGGUGGAGAUUUCUUUGAUGUUUGAUUUCUUUGAUUUUUGUGGUGGAGAUUUUUGUGGUGGUGAUUAAGGUGGAGGUGAGGGAAAACAGUGGCUUGCCGGAUUCUGAAAAUGGUGAUGGUUCGUCGGAUUCUGGAAUGGCUCGCCGGAAAAGUAAGGAUUUUUUUUUUUAAUUCUUCAAAAUAUCAAAACGACGUCGUUUUGCCCACGUGGCUUGCCAGCGUGUAAAAAAAUCCACGAGUAAUGCCAUGUAAUGUUAAAUAUUGUCCACGUCAUCGCCGGUCAAACUUAAGAACUGCCGGAACUUUCGCCGUGUGCAAUUUACGAUAAAAUUAAAAGGUGAUGUAUUCUGAGGCUAUUUUUGAAGCUCG